Molecule: long non-coding RNA, 7788 nt
Filed under: Theobroma cacao (cacao)
Lineage: Eukaryota; Viridiplantae; Streptophyta; Magnoliopsida; Malvales; Malvaceae
Description: long non-coding RNA (TCAC_LNC000533)
Source: RNAcentral
UUAUAAAUAUUAUUUAUAAUUAAUUUUAAAAUUUUUUACCGUAUCUUAUGUUACGAUACUCGAUACUGAAAAAAUAAGAUUUCGAUACACAAUACGUAACUUGAUCUAACAACUAUGACUUUUACCAUUUUGACAAUCAUGGUUUAGUUGUGAUUACUUCGAAACUAACCUCAAUUAAUUAUAUUUCUUGGAGUAGAUCUUUGCUUUUGGCACUUUCCAUAUGGAACAAAACGUGUUUCAAGGAUGACACCUCUGAAGCUUGACUUAAAAAAUGAGUUGUAUGUGCCAUGGACACACUGCAACAACUUGAUUGUAGCAUGGUUAUUGGAAUCCAUCUCACCUCCAGUGACUUCAAAUAUAUUUUACAUGAACUCUACAUUGGAAAUAUGGGAAACAUUGAAAAAGAGGUUUACUCACAAUUGAUGACACCAGAAUUUACAACUUGCAAUUUCAACUUUCCAACAUCUUGUAAGGGACCAAGUCUGUAGAUGCAUACUGUCAAAUUUGAAUAGUAUUUGGCAAGAAUUAAGAAAUUAUAUGUCUCUUCCACAUUGUGAAUGUGGAAGUUGUAAUAAGCAAUUCUUUAAGAAAUAUGUUGAUCAGGCACAAAAGAAUUAUAUAUUUUUUUUGAAUGGAAUGAAUGAGUCAUAUGCUACUCUUAGAAGUUAGAUUAUACUGAUUGAACCUUUCCUCAGUUUAGAUGAAGCUUACAAUAUUGUUCUCAGGGAAGAAUCCUAAAGAAAUCUUAUAUACAAACACACCUUUUUAGUGAAGUUUCUGUUAUGGCCACCUAUAUCUAAGGCAAAAAGAAAACCAAGGGAAAUAUACUUUGUAGUCAUUGUGGUAAAACAGGACAUAUUAAAGAAAAAUGCUUUGUAUCAUUAGAUUUCCCAAGGAUUUUAAAUUUACAAAAGGCAAACCUUAUGAUAAAAGAGGAAUGCAUUUUGUUAAUAGUGUUUCUACAAAUUCUAUUAAUGAGUCACGCCAUAAUGAGGAAGACACAAUGAAUGCCAUUUCUAAAAUUUCUUUGAUAAAGAACUAAGUUCAAAGGUUUAUGUCAUGGAUCCAAGAGUGUGAAACAAGUUGUCAUGGUGAUAAUCCACUGAAACCAAACAAUGAAUAACAACUUAGGCCAUCCAUAAUCAAUUUAGUUGUGGCUGCUAUCAUUACUAAACUUAUUAGUGUAAUUGCUUCAGAAUUUCAAUCAAGAGAUUCAUUAAGUGAUGAAACAUUAAUCUUUAGUCAUGAUACAUGGUUUGUUGGCAUUAGGGCUACAGAUCACAUCACAUGUUCUGUGAAUGUUUUUACAUAGUUUAAAGAAGUACACAACUUGUUUGUACAAAUGCCAAACAAUAAUAGGGCUUUAGUUACUCAUAUUGGCAUUGUAAAACUAUCACAGUCAUUAGUUCUCACAAAUGUUCUUUGUGUUCCAUCUUUUUCAUUUAAUCUCAUAUUUGUUGGGAUUUUUAUUUGACAAAAUCUAAGCAACUUUGUUUAAUCUUUGAUAAUUCACAAUGUGUUAUUUAGGACCUUCAUUUAUGGAUAAUGAUUGGGCAUUUAAACUCCUAUCAAGCCUAUAUGUCAUACAGAGAGACUUGGAUGCACAAGCUUAACUUCUUUUGCUUCUACAAAAAUCUAUGAUUGUUUUGCCCUUGAUGGUUUAAUCGAGUUUUCUAGUUUUUCCUUUGUAAACAAUUGUAAUGCCAAGCCAAAAGAAUUUGAUUUGUGGCAUUUUCAACUAUGAAAUGUUCCUUUGAACAAAAUCAAACAAAUUAAUAGUUUUUGUAGAAUUUAUCUUUUAACAAGGCAAAAAAGGUUUUCUUUUCCUAUUUAUGUAAAAACUACCAUUUCUCCUUUUGAAAUAAUACACAUGGAUAUUUAGGGCCCCUAUUCUACUACAACCAUUUUUGGUUAUUAUUAUUUUUUGAAUGUUCUGGAUGAUUUUAGCAAAUUUACUUAGGUGUUUUUAAUGAGACAUAAAUCAAAUGUUUUGAUUAUUGUUUCUAUUGUUUGCAAUAUGGUCAUGAAUCAUUUUAAUUCUUCUGUCAAAACCAUUCGAUCUAACAAUGGCCUUGAGUUUAAAUUGACUUAAUACUAUUCUUUAGAAAGGAUUGUGCACCAAUUUUCAUGAGUAGACACUCCCCAGCAGAAUGGUGUUAUUGAAAGGAAGCAUCAAUACCUUCUGGUAGUAGCCUGAGCAUUAUUAUUUCAAGCUUCCUUACAUUUGAAGUUUUAAGGUGAUUUAAUCUUAAAUAUCACCCAUAUCAUUAAUAGGAUUCCAUCUCUUGUCAUAUCAAAUAAAACACCAUUUGAAGUAUUGUUUUUGCAAACUGUUUCCUUACAAUCCGUUGCUAUGUGUAAUGUGGUAAAUUUUAAGAGUUGUCACCAAUCUUUUUAUAAGGUGCGAUUAGCCACCUACAAAAUUUGUUCUAUUCGACAAGGUUCUAAAUUGAUUUUAGGUUCAUCUAAAGAACCAAAAAACUUGGUCUAUGAAUUUUAGAAUUAAAUUUAAGAAUACUGUUACGCACAGGGAAUGAUUAAUAUCCCCGUGAUGCCCGUUCCAUGAAUGGUACUAUUUAACCAUAUGUUAUCCUAUUUUAACCCCAACUUUUGAUUUUAUUCUUAUAUAUAUUUCCUUAAUCAUUACUCUUUUUUUGUUUUUUAUUCCUAUUUUAUUUAAUUUAACUAUGAAUGAUAAUCUUUUUAUUGAAGAUAUUUCCCAAGUCUUCCCAUUUUUCUAGUAAGAUACAAGAAUAGCUUCUUACUUAAAGCGUUUUUCGAGAAACUUAUCUUUUUAAAUUUCCUAGAAAAAAUCUCAUCAUUGGGAUUAUCAUUCGAACUUUAUUUCAAGGAUAAGAAUAUGCAUGAUGAGUAUGAAAUGCAAGGAUGAUGAAUGUUAUGAAUUUCAAAUUAUUAUAUACAAAUUAUGAUCGUUUAUUAAAGGCAUUUUUUAGGUCUUCCCAUCAUUUUGGUAAAACUCAGGAAUGCACUUUCACCUAGAGAAUACCUCAAGAAGCUUAUUUUUACAAACUUCACAAAGAAAUCUCAUCAUCGGACCAAUGUUUGUAUGUUAGUGUACGUGUGUCUAUGGAAUGCAAAUUCAUAAUUGAUUAUUACAAUUGACAACCUUAUAUCGAAGCCCUUUUCCAGAUUCUCCUAUCAUUCUGGUAAAAUUCGAGAAUGUCAUCUCACUUAGAGAAUUCCUCAAGGAAACUUAUCCUUACAAGCUUACAGAGAAAUCUCAUCAUUGAGAUUGACAAUUGUAAACGAGAUAUGUGUCACACAAUAAAAUGCAAGUUUCAAAUUAUUAAAUGCGAAUCAAAGUUCUUUAGUUGAAAAUAUUUUCCGAAUAUUCCCAUUGUUCCAGUAAAAUCCAGGAACGAAACCUCACCUAGAGAAUUUCUCAAGGAAGUUUAUCCUUACAAACUUCCUGAGAAAAUGUAGACACUAGCUUAUUGAUUUCUUUUUUCUCACAUUUGAAUUAUUAUUCUUAUUCUUUUGCUAAAGCUUAAGUUUAGAAGUCUGUUUUUUAAGUCCAUCUGCUUUGAUGCUAUUGAGGCCCCUUUGGAUCUUGUUAAUUACAGGCCCUCAAGUUUAAAUGAGCCAAAAAAAAAAUAAACAACUUUUAUUAGGUUGAUUACAUUAAAAAGGGAUCAAAACCUGAAUUAAAAGGGAUUAAUCACCCUAAGUCAAAAAUUAGUGAAAAGGUUCUAGAAAAAACAAGAAUGACAUAGGGAAAUUGGUCAAUUGGCCAAAAAUAAAAAAAAGACAAAAAAUGAAAAAUGUACAAGGCCUUUACUAGGAGUGCCUUAAGACCUGAGUAGAGGCCACCUAAUUCACCACUAGCUAUGGAAUGCAUCCAACGACUGGCAGAGAAAGAACUCAGGGAAAUUUCUAAACCCUUGGCUCGGAUAAAAGGAAAAAAAAGGCGAUUCUAAAGAGAGGAGAAAAAACCCUAAGAUCUCUCUUUCAAGAGUUGUAAUACACAUGGAAACCCUUUUGUAAAGAAAAACCCUAGAAAAAAAAUAAAAAACCUUAGCAUCUUUGUUAACUUAAAAAAAGACCAUAAGAACCAAACAAAAUAAAAAGUGUGAGAAUGGGAGCUUUAGAAAAGAGGGAAGUUUAGAGAUUUGAUUUUCAAUGAGUUUUCAGAUUAGUAAAAAGUUUUUUUUUAUAUAUAAAAAGGUGAGAAGAAAGACAAACAACCUAAAGGCUUUCUUGUGAAAGCGGAGUUUUUGGGUCAUAGUAAAAGGGUGAAAGAGCGAUGAGCGUUGAAGGUUCUUUAGAGGGUAGAGGCAUUGGAUUUCAACAUAUUUGUAGGCAAUGAAGGCAAGAAUUUUGAGAGUGGGUUGAUAAUUCUAUUUUAUAGAAUUAUUUUAGUCCAAUUUUGUUAUUAAAUAUUAGCUAAGUCCUUAAUUUUUAAUUAUAAUUUAGUUAUUUUUAGUUAUUUUUAUAAUUAGUUUAUUUUUAUUAAGUUAUUUUAAUUUUAUGUUUAUUUCCUUUAAUUUGGUUAUUAUUUAUUAGUUUUUAUGUUUUUGUAGGAUUUAAAGGAAUUUGGCUUAAUUUUGAAAAGUAAGGUGUUUCAAGGACCCGAAACUUUGCUUGUAGAUGCUUCGGUUUUUUGCCAUAACUCCUGAUACAGAGCUCCAAAUGAUGCAAUUCUUAUGCCAUUAGAAAGUUAAGAGACAGAGCUACAACUUACAUGAAGAUCACUUUGCCCAGUUAUACUUUGAGUAUAGAGAAAAUUGAAUCGAAAAAUGACAAGGUGUACUACUACGGGAAUGACAAUCUUAAUGCUGACAAUUGUUGUUUGGGCCUCAUUACACUUUUACGCCCAAUAAUUAGAAUUAGUAGGUAAACUUAGGGACUUAAGUUGAUAUUAUUAGUAUAAAUAGGAUAUUUUAAGAGAACCUUAAGAGAUUCAAUAAGCUAAAAGUUGAUGCUAAAGCUUGGAGAUCAAGGUUGCAAAUAUUUGUUUUGUUUUCUUCCUUAUCUUUUUUUUUCUUUUGUUACUCUUAAUGGUUAAACUUCACAUAUUUUUACUUAUCUUUGCAAUUAUGAGUAGAUCAUUUUAUUUUUUUAGGAUUGCAAUUGAACUCAUAUGUAAUCUAAAUUUUUAAUCUAUUAAUUGCUUAUCUUUAAUGAGAAUUGAAUUGUUUAUUGCAAUUUGUUCUUAAUACUUUUAAUUUUCUUAUCACCAAUUAAAUUGAUUUAGGAACCUAAACAAACUUGGGAAAGGGAGUUUAGUGUAGACUAAAAUUGAGAUAGCAUAUAAUCAUGUUAAUUGAUUUGCGUAUAGGAUAGAGAUAUACCUAUAGGCCAUAUGUAGUUAGAUUAGAACCUGAACUUAAUGAAUCUAAUUUAAUUUCAAUUCACAUAGGGAUAUAGUGUCUUGGUUAAAAUAGAUAUUUUUAUAAGAUGUGUCACGACCCAGUACUCUCUUCGAGUCUGUGACAACCGCCGUGAUGUUCCGAUAGACAUUCACUACCCAAAAUGCCAACCAAAACCCCACAAGGCUUUAAUAUCAGUUUUCGCACCUCCCCUGUGAGCAACAGUUGUUAAGUAUCAUGUUUUGAGAGAUUAUAAACUAUUUCCAAAUCAAAACAAUAGAAAAAUAAUUUUUUGCUCACAAGGGCAUUUUGGUCAUUUUUCCUCAAAAAUCUCGAAACCAGCUAAAAAUGUAGUAUGCGAGUGAAAAACACAUAUUUCAUAAUAAAAAAUAAGUUUAGAUGUCUAAAACAUUCAUUUAAAGUGAAAUUAUAACUAUUUGAAUAUAAUAAAAAUAUUCAAUAAAACAUUUUAUUUUCUUAUAAAACAAUAUUUAUAGAGUUACCAGUAAAUAAUUUUUGUAGCGUAAAAGCUAAAUAAAUUCAAACAUACUGUAAUAUAGAUAACCAAAGUAUAAAAUUUAAUUUACAGUGACACGUGGGCCCACGAACGACCAAAAGCAUCAAAAGCGGUAAACCUAUAGUUUUUGAGGAUGCAAGUCCAACUGUAGCCCUCAACAAAGUGAGCUAUCUACAAACUAUCCUGAGCUUGAAAUUGGUGGAAAGGAGGGUGGUGAGAUUAUAUAAUCCCAGUGAGUAAACAAAUACCAUCUAAAAUAUCUAAAGCUGAGUAAAUGGAGACAGAUAAAAUAGUUUAACAUACUAUAAUUCAUCACCUUUCAACUCAUUUCAACCAAAUUAAAUCAAUUCAUAUAAAUCGAGUAAUCAACAUGGCUUAUGAAUUUCUUAAAACUUUGGCUCGUGCCAAAAUCAUUCUCAUACUCAGUUAUCAGCGAUACCUUGACCGAGGGCUAUCCCAACCGAGUCCGCCAAGACUAUUAAAAAGUCAUGUACGUAUAAAUCAUGUUUUUAUUUUGAAAACAUAGCCUUUCCUUGGGGUUGGCUGAGUCCACCCUCACGUGGUGGUUUGGCGUGAAGUGAACUCUAAAGUUGUACCUCAGGAGUUACCCUACACGCCUCUCCGACCGAGGUAAGAAUAUAACGGGGUUACCGUACCCCUCUAUCAGGCUAGUCCACGAAACCUGCCCACUGUAGCAAGCUAAACCCACCAAUUCAAUAAAAUCUCAACCGCAUGACAUGACAAUUAUAUCACAAUCCAGCCUCUCAAGGCUAAAUACACAAUUCAUAUAUUUCAACACAAAUACCAAUUCAGCCAUUCAUGCAAAUAUUGUCAUAAGUCAUUCGAUUCAAACCAUGAAUUUACAACACAUGAAAACAAUCUCCAAUUACUCUAUUUUCAAACCAUCAUUUCAUUUCAAGACAAUGUUAUAAAAUAAUUUCAUUAAAUCACAUUUUGUUUAUAAAACCUAAAGAUUUACCAUUUAAACACAUUUUUUCUAUAAAAUCACAAAAAUGAAUAAAAACUACUUUAAAUAAUUAAGACGAUAGUAAGGUUACUCACUAUUUCGGGAGUCGAAUUUCGAGUACUCCGAUUCUUGAUCCUCGGGUACUAUCUCUUUUCUUUUCCUAGAAUGCUUACCACCUAGACAUAAUGCACAAUAAGCCAUUUACUACAUUUGUGCUAAAUUGUUAUAAAACCAAUUCAGGCUCUAUACUAAUGCAUGAAAUGGGAUGUAAAUUGUUCAGGUAACUAUCUAAAUACGGUGUUCAAUAUAAAUUCAAUUAUGUACCUAAAUAAAACAAUAUUGGCCUAAUUCGAUCUAUCACUCGAUUAAUUGGCCAAUACGUCAAAUUCGACUCCAAAUAAUUCCAUUUUCCUCCCAAUACUCCAAAUCAUCAAACACAAAUUAAAUAGCUUGAAAUAUGGCAAAAUCAUCCUCACAUUUUCUCUUGGAAAAUUCGGCCAUGGUGGGUGCAUCAACACUAUAAUUUUUUAAGCUUGAUUCUCACACCAUAAAUCACUAAUUCCUAACCAAAUCACUUGAAAUAAAAUGAAAAUCAUCAUCAAUAUUCCACAUGGAGAAUUCGGCCAAUGAUGGGUGAUGGAAGAACAUGAAUUUUUCUUGCUUGAUUUUCAUGCUACACAUCACCAAUCAACUAAAAACACUAAAAUACAUUGAAAUCUAACCAUAUCAAGCAUCAAAACCUUUCUCUAAGUGUUCAGCCAGCAAGAUACCCAUCAUGAAAUCAUGUGAUUCAACCAUGAAAAAUGCAAAAGAAUGUAUGGGAAAGGUAGAUCAUAAGUCAAAAUUAAGAAAUUUUACUUUUGAUUACUUGAUUCCUUGAAAUCCACCAAAUUUUCUCUUGAAUUUUCACCCUAGGAUUCUUGUUCUUUCUUUUCUUCCUUUGUUCUUGCUUUGUUUGGCCAUAUGAAGAGAAA